UCUGAAAGGCUUAUGUGGAAAAUAAACAAGCGGACACGCGAUGGUUUUACAUCGUUGUUGACAACGCAUAAAAAUAGGCGCUUGUCAGGUCGUGUGGUUAUAUUAAAUAUAAGCGAAAGAGAGAACUUUCAAGAAAUGAAUAUAGCCACUACAGUGACCAUCAAGACCAUUAAAUUUGGAUAAUAAAACUCGAGGUGGAAACCAGGAGGCAGCCGGAAGAAUACAUCCGAGGACAGGACACAUCAAGGUGCGGCAUGAGGAGAGAUACAACGGGAGAAAGAUGGUGCAGAGAUAAUCGUGGACCAAGUAAAGAAGCAGACACCAAACUGAGUAGACAAAACACACUAAGAGCUCAAUAUUAUUGAGCUUUAGUCAGUUCUCUGCAUUCUUCAGUGGUUUAAAAAAUGUAGUUGUAGUUAAUUAAUGUACUUUAUUUGAAGCAUUGCAGGCCUUAGUGAAAUAGAGACACAGCUCCUAAACCUUUAAGACAAACAGUAAAGUAAGACAGCUUCUAAAGUCGUUCAAAGUUGCUUAGCCCCUUGUGUAUGUGUUAGCCUGAUGUGCACACACUGCCUGAGCCCUGCUUUUCCCUCAGAGAACCUGUACGCCGUGUCCCGUACGCCAGAAAGCUGCUCUACCAGGAGCUGCAGUCCGUGAACAUCAUCCCUCGACUCGAGCUGUCGCGCUACAGCGAGUGAGCAGGACAAGGACAGAGAUGUGUUGGGUGGAGACGAGGGUAAGGGGGGGUGAAUUUGUGAGUGAGUGAAAGGGACGGUUUUGUAAAGUCACACACUUCACCGGGAACUGUUUUCUCAGAUAAUCAAUCAGAUGUUUAGAUAAAAACAUGGACUGACUGCACUGAGGUGUAACAUGUGCCUGUGUGUGUGCCAGUUGUGCUCAGUGUGCUGAGGUGAAGCAUCCAAACCACACAGCCUGUUCUUCAAUCCGGGAUCGUGUCCCAAAUCAGAGCUGCGGAAGGGUAAGCGUCACAGUGAGUGUGCUGCAGCUGAUGUUGACCUGAAAAAUCGUGUCUCGCAGGUACAGUCUGCAGUCUGUGAAGUGGGGCUCCUGCUGCUCAGGUGUUCUCACUGAAGUCCGUUUCACCUGAUGAGAGGAGGCAGCUCUGACUUGAGGCUGUUCAAGAAUGAGCGCCACUUGAUCUGGUUCCACCUGUACCACAGGCAGAGAAACACAGGCCUGGACUCUUUGUUGGCCAGACAAAAUCAGAAACGGAAAUCAUUGGUUUUUACAACUGGGUCCAGUUCCACCUGCAAAGGAUAUGAGGCCAGGGAGCAUGAUUUGGUAAGUAUAACAUUUCACCAGACAGAAGAGUUUGAUUUCCUUUGAUUUCAGUAUUCUCAGCCGGUCGGCCUCAUGUGUGCCUGAUCACAAGUCGGUCCACUUCAUACAUGCACAGUAGCGCAGGCAAAUAGUUGCUCACACGCUCACUGUGGCCAUUAUUGAGCUCACGUUGGGUGGAGAUGAGAAGUUUCAAAGAGAUUUAAUUUAUAUAUUUUAUAUAAUAAAGUAAAUGUACGAAUGACCGGCAAUAAUUCAGUCACUGAAAUUAUCCAUGAAAUUAGCUAAGUAAUUCCUAAAAGUCUGUAGAUUGACUUUUACAACAAGGAAGCAGGUUUUCUCAUUAGCAGAAAUGCUCAAUAGACAGAAAAACAGAAACCCUAAAAGAAAGUUACCGCGAGAUUAAGAGAAACGGCCUUGUUUUACGGACACCACGGGUCAAGAAGGAGUCAGAAUAAUUUGUGUGUAUUUAUCCCACUUUUCGAGUUUCAUCGCUAAAUUGGUGUAGUUAGGUGCACAAGAUUGAAAACAAUUUGUUCUGAAAAAAUGCAGAUGAAGAGUUGUUUGUUGACAGUAUAGAUGGUUUGUUUUUAAACCUCUUACCACUCACAGAGUCCCCGGUGACGGUCUAGCUAUGUCAGAUGCCAGUCAUUUAGGAGACUAAUACUUUUUUGGGAUUUAAAUUGUGCUAACUCACUUUGUUCAACACAGCCCAGAGUAACAUUAAAAAUAAAACAUAUUAGAACUAAUUUUGUUGGACACAAGAAAAACUGAAGCAUCUUUGUAGGGAGCCGAACUAGGGCUUACAAGUUUUGCAGUGCCUUUGCAGGGACUUUGCUAUCUGCACAGAGCGUUUCUGGUGUGGCUUAUGCAAAAGAGAAUUGCAACAAUACAGCGUGUUUCUCUGCUCCCUUUCACACAGUAAGUAUGUCUGUUGUAGACUGUAGUAGUAAUAUAGCAUCCACCAUCUCCUGCUUGCAUAUUUCUGAAAACAUCUUAUUGGUGUGGCAGCCAUGGGUUGAGCCAGCCCUGCAAACCCUGUUGAUGGACGAUGCAGUGGACAGUGGGAGGAAGCAUCCUAAAGCUCUCUUUGCAGACCAGCCUGUGUGAUUCUCCACUCGCCGACCAGAAAAGACAAACGGCAUGUCUCAGUUGCAGCACCUCAUCCAUCCAUGUCUGAUCUUGCAUCGGCAGAUUCAGCAACACAGCCAGAGACUUCCUGUAAUCUAUUACAGUUGUUAAAAAAAAUGGUACAGGAACAGGUCGCUCAGGUUAAUCCUGUAUAAACAACUGUAAAUAUUGUUUUUCCUUCUUUAAAUAUUGUUGGCUUAUUAGAAAUAUUCUUGUUUAAUUGUUGUUCUCCAAAAAGUGGAGAAACAUCACUGAUGAUGUUCAUGAAUCCCCAGCUGACUCUGGUAAUCAUUUUAUGUUGUGAUUAUUAUGAUAAUAACAGAAACAGAUGCAUCUAUGUCAUGCAGUACUAAUUUAAAAACUCAAAUAUUUUGGACAAUUUAUAUUUUUCUAUCACAAUAAAUACAAGUCUUCAAGUAAACACACAGAGCAGUAGUGGAUGUUUUUUUUAAAAUAUUAUUUUUCUUUAUUUUGAUUAACCACCAACCACAUUGUUUAUAUUUGUAGUUUUUGAAGUAUGGAGCACCACAAAAACUACAAAUAAAAAAAAACAAACAAUCCAGCUAACCAAUUUUGUGCUCUCUACUACCAGAACCCACCAAAUUGUAUCUCAGCCCAGCCCGACGGGCCGAUGGGCUGGGCUGAGAUGGAUUUUGGUAGCCCGACUGGAGAAAUCGCUAGCCCCGGGACGUCGGGCUAGCGAUUUUGCGAGCCCUCACUUGAAUUUUUGAAUUUCAGUUUAAGGCAAUUAAAUUCAAUCCAAAAAUUCAAUCCCAACAAUCAAGUGAUCCCCUGUGAGCAACAGUGGACAGGAAAAACUCCCUUUUAACAGGAAGAAACCUGUGACAGAACCAGGCUCAGGGAGGGGCAGUCUUCUGCCAUGACUGGUUGGGAGGUGAGGGCAAAAUAAAACUGAACAUAAAGGAGAGCACAGUAUAGUUAUGAGAGAUUGUGGACCGUGGCUGGAAAACAUUACUGUUUUCAAAAGGCACCCGGUCCACAACCACAACUACAGUAGAGCUGGAAUGGAUAAUAAGGAUACUCCCACAGAGGACGGACAUUCACUUCAAAAUAUUUGCAACGGCCCAGCAAGCUACGGGAACAACAACGGCUGCUGUGACAAGACCUAGACCUACUUUAAGUGCGAGUUUGGCACCAGCACACCACCAACCACUAGUCUGAGACUCGUCAGUAGGUGGUUCUGUGACACGAGUCUUUCGUUCAUUCAACUCCCUUUCAAGGAGCUGCCCUCAGAUUCAGACCUCAGCACCACCCAGUGACAGCAGACAGAUCAUCCAACAUGUUCACAUGUUAACUGCAAAAUGAACUGAUGAAAACAGUACAAAGGUUAAAGUACCACAUGUGCUGUAGUGAAAGCUGCAGCUUUAUUGAUAAAGUUAAAGACAAAAAAACAAAAGGAUUAAUCACUCAUGUAACUGUGUCACUAUAUAUCAGCAUUAACAGGACCUCAGUUUGGUGUUUCACAAAGCUGCUGAUCUCAGACCUGCACAGCUUCCGAUUUAAACACUUGAUGUACUCAGCUGCAUGAAGAGCAUAUGAGAUUUUCUCUAACACAAUUAAAUAAAACCUGAUGAAGGUCAAAGGUC
Long non-coding RNA from Oreochromis aureus, 4037 nucleotides. The record is from Ensembl. NCBI's taxonomy places the organism in Eukaryota, Metazoa, Chordata, Actinopteri, Cichliformes, Cichlidae.